AUUGAACGCUGGCGGCAGGCUUAACACAUGCAAGUCGAGCGGGGUGAUGGUGCUUGCACUAUCACUUAGCGGCGGACGGGUGAGUAAUGCUUAGGAAUCUGCCUAUUAGUGGGGGACAACAUCUCGAAAGGGAUGCUCAUACCGCAUACGUCCUACGGGAGAAAGCAGGGGAUCACUUGUGACCUUGCGCUAAUAGAUGAGCCUAAGUCGGAUUAGCUAGUUGGGGGGGUAAAGGCCUACCAAGGCGACGAUCUGUAGCGGGUCUGAGAGGAUUAUCCGCCACACUGGGACUGAGACACGGCCCAGACUCCUACGGGAGGCAGCAGUGGGGAAUAUUGGACAAUGGGGGGAACCCUGAUCCAGCCAUGCCGCGUGUGUGAAGAAGGCCUUAUGGUUGUAAGGCACUUUAAGCGAGGAGGAGGCUCUUUUGGUUAAUACCCAAGAUGAGUGGACGUUACUCGCAGAAUAAGCACCGGCUAACUCUGUGCCAGCCGCCGCAGUAA
This 503-nucleotide ribosomal RNA is filed under the name uncultured bacterium. RNAcentral's name for it is "partial 16S ribosomal RNA". It matches the Rfam family "Bacterial small subunit ribosomal RNA", at positions 30 to 523 of the family's 1533-position model. The record is from RNAcentral.